AAGAGGAACACACCGGCGGGAGAACACAGAACACGCACCCUUUCUUUUAGUCACCCUGGAGGCCUCGGAGAAGGCGGUUUCAGUGAUCCGUGAAGAGACCCCGAGUCUUUUACAUCCCGGAGAAUGACAAGAGAGCGAGUACCUGGGCGACGUUUACGUUCUGGGAUUUCGGGAGAUGCGGUUUUCUGCACGCCAGGGGCCAAGCCUGAGACGUAGAUGGACGGCAGGGAUAGGAGCUCUCUCCGCGCCACAAACGCCCCUGCUCAUACCUGGGUUCCUUGAUUUUCCUGCCUAUAUAACCCAGCCUCCCAUGGCCGGGCUCUGAGCUCUCAUUCUGCGGACUGGGACAAAGGGGUUAACUGUGAUGCGCUUUGUAUAACCCCAGGAUUCUGCACUUGCCCAAGGGCGAGGUGCAAAUCAAAAACUACGCACAACUGAACACCGAGAUCAGGUGAGUCCUGAGUGUCUCACGACAUAAAAUCCUUACGAUUUUAACAAGAGUUGUAUUUGUGCUAGCACUGUUAACUGACAAACGCAUGCCAGAUCCUAUCUGUCUUUAGCUCAAUGUGUGACGUUAGACACGUCGUUUUGCUCUUCAACUUUCUUAUUUGGAAAAAAAACAAGUGUUCUAGAUUUGCAGAGGACAUUUUCGGAGCUAAGUUCCAGUAGCUAUACUGUAAGUUGAUUUCUUGGGCAGUUCUGUUGGUGAGGAAAGAGGGCAAAUUGAGAAAUGAACAAACACAGAAGUUGCAAAAGCCCUGUGACUUACAGCACAGGACAAGUCUACAAACCCUGCCAUGCUACACUAAGCUCUAAUUGUUUUAACACCAGCUUACUCAGACCCGAUGAUCCAAGAUAAGACCAAAGCCAAACGGAUCCAGCAACUCUGCGCAGAUCUUCAUGUUCCAGCAGCUAAGUUCCACUGAAUAAACCUAUGAUUCGCCUAGUUUAGAAAUUGUCUAGUCCCUCCUGAGAAGGACCUUACUAACUUUCCCCCUAAAAGUGUCCUAUGAAUAGCUCCAGUCCCCAAACCCUUUAAAUUCUGGUCUCUGACUCACCCUUGUUUUAGGCAGUACUGGGACUCCACAGAGGAUCCCGACUCAGAUUGAAAAAGCAGAGGAUGGUCACUGCCUUCCAGGUCUGAGGCUGUCUCCCAGAAGCUUCACUCCUGGCUUCGCCUUGGUUCUCCAUCACUUUCUGAGUCCUACAGGAGGAAAGUGCUAUUGAAGAUGCGGCUAUGCCGUGAAGCUCUGGGGCUGGGAGAAGCUGUCCCACCACUUCCGGGCGGCGGUGGCGGCAAGGAGCAGUUUGUAUUCCCCGUUGUUUCUCCUGUUGACGACAUCUGUGCCUCUUAUCUGGGAGAAGAUCAGAGGAAACUGCCGCCUCCCUAGAGCCCGUGUUUUAUUGAUCCCCGUGUAAGAGUCUUGUUGCCCCUGCUUCCAUCCUCCCUUCUUUUCCACUCCUGCCACAGGUUUGGCACUUCUAGGUACUCAGGUGUCAGCGCAAAUUUCCCGUCUUUAGACAAGUACAGCUAAAAGUGAUGCCCACACGAUCUCUCAGUUCCUAUUACAUCUUCACAAAUAUCGUCUCCUCCGGAAAGUAUGUCUUUGAAUUAUUGGUUUGUUUUUCUCUCCCCUAGAAUGGGAGCUUCCUGAGUACCGAAACACUGUCUAUGUAGACUGUGUUUAACUCACUUCAUCACCAUGUGUAGAGUUAAGGUCCUAUAAAAUACGGUUACUGCCUUGAACAGAUGAGGUGAGUAGUAUAAGGAAACGGAGAUCAAACACAAAGCAAUACUUAAAAAAAUUAUCCUGCCACAUUUCUAAAAUCUUAAUAAUAGCAUUCACUAAUGUUUUUUGGUUUUCCUUUGUGCUUUCUCCAUAGCCCCUUAUUCUUAUCAUUAUUUUUGACAUUUGACUCACAAUUUUCCAUUUGUUUUCAAAUGACCAAGCAGAUUUUCCAAUUUUCUAGUUAAUUCCUGUGUUUCCUUCACCAUUCUGUUUUCUGGUUUUCUUUUGGGCUACUUCUCCUUCUCCUUCUUCUUCUUCUUUUUCUUUUUCUUCUUCUUCUUCUUCUUCUUCUUCUUCUUCUUCUUCUUCUUCUUCUUCUUCUUCUUCCUCUUCUUCUUCCUCUCCUUCCUCUUCUUCUUCCUGUUCUUCUUCUUCUUCUUCCUCUUCUUCUUCUUCUUCCUCUUCUUCUUCCUGUUCUUCUUCUUCUUCUUCUUCUUCUUCCUCUUCUUCUUCUUCUUUUUCUUCUUCUUCUUCUUCUUCUUCUUCUUCUUCUUCUUCUUCUUCUUCUUCUUCUUCUUCUUCUUCUUCUUCCUCUUCUUCUUCUCCUUCUCCUUCUUCUGCUUCUGCUUCUGCUGCUUCUUUUUCUUCUUUUUCUUACUUCUUAUAUUGGAUGCACUGAUUUCUUCUAAUGUUUUGUAACUUGGGUAUUCAAAGGUAUAAGUUAAAACGAGAAAGCAGUUUCUACAGAAUCCUUAGAAAUAUGUCGUUAUAAGCCCCCAUUUUCAUUAUAUUCUAAGGAGCUCGAAGAUAUACUUUUGAUUCUUUUCUAAACUGUGCAUUCGAGAGUUAAUCCCUUCUUGUUUACUUUUAUGUUCAGUCUUUCAAUGUUAUUUUCUAAUUUUUGUGUAUCAUUUUAUUUAUCAACACAUAAAUAUAUAUAUUCACAUAAAUAUAUGAGUUAUAUAUACAUGUAUUUAUGAAUGGCAGCUGAACCACAUAUUAGUGCUAAUAUUGGUGACUAAAAGUUGGAGAACCAGACACUAUGUACCUCAUAAAGCGAAGCAAUGGAAAGUGCACAAGCCCACCUAUCAAAUUGUCUUGUUAAAAGAUUCGAAGCUGAAUCUAAGUGAGCCUCUACUUUUAACUACCAGUUUACAAGAAAUAGAGUAGAUUAAGAAACAUGUCAAGGGGCAGGAAAUAGAUACAAUGAAAUAAAUACAACAUAGAGGUGUUUCUAAGGAUAAAAGGCCCAGUUCCUUCAACAAUUAACUGGCAUUAACUCUUUAUGAUACUAUAAGGGUAAAUAUAUGUCAUUAUACAUUUGUUUAAAAAAAAACCCAGGAUGUAUAACACAAAGAGCAAACUGUAAUGUAAACUGUGGACUUUAGUUAACAGUAAUGUAUUGAUAAUUACUGGUUUACCAAUUGUAACAAAUGCACCACACUGAUGCAAGAUGUUAAUAAUAGGGAAAAUUGUAAGAGAGGGAGAGUGAUGGAGUUUAUGGAAAUUCUAUCUAUUCUGAUCAAUUUUUCUUUAAACCCAGAACUUCUCUAAAAAAUAAUGUCUAUCAAUUUUAAAAAUAAUAUCAAUGGAAGAAAGACCAGGGACCUUUUAUGGGUGAAAAGAGUCUUAAAAAACAUAAAAAUCUGUAGAUUUUACUUUAUUAUUUAUAAUCAGCUAUUAGGAGAAAUUUUUUUGUAUGGCUGACAAUCAGAAAAAAAGUUAAUAUUAGAUCAUAUUUAUGAUCUAUUACCAAUUUGUUAACAAUAGGUACAUACACACAAGCAAACACGGCCCUAAAAUUUCCUAGUUCUCUCAAGCUAUUGAUUUCAUCCUUAUCUCUGCUGCUGAGUUCAAGAAAGUGAAAUGUGUAAUGGCUAUCUUUCCUUUCUGGUUUAUUUCAAAGUCAAGUUCUAAUAUAGGUAAACAAAUAAACUAAUAAAGAGAUAAUGCUUUUCUCAUGAAAUGUAUAAUCUAGUAGGAAUAAAGAUAAACAAUUUUUUUAAAAAUUCUAUUUCAUUAAGCAAAAAUGCAACUCGGAAGAAUAAUGUACAUUAGCAGUCAUUUACUAUUUUUCAAUAAAAUUCCGAUAUAUAUGUAAAGUAAAUUAUUACUAAUAUCAAACAUAGUUUAAAGAAUUAGUGACUAUGUGCACUUGGAUCUCCAUAUGUAAUGUACUAUCAGCAUCUUCACAAACACAGUAAAUUUUAAUAUGCAAAUAAAACUUAUUUUACUAAACGAUGAUUACUCCUUCUAUAUUCAUAUUCCUAAACACAUACAGUUUCUUAAUGUAAUUAAGUUUUUAACUAAAAAAAGGGAAAUGCAUUAUUGAGGCGAUAGGAUUACUGGGUGGCUAUAAACACAUCUGCUGCACAGCUGACAUUUAUCUUCUACAAUAAGCAAUGACAAUUUUAUUUUUUAAUAAUCAGUAUGGACUAAUCCUGAUGAUUUUUUUUAACAGUUUCAAAUAGGGCUGCAUAUGGCUUAAAAUUAAUAUAUAUAUGUGUACCUAUAUAGUAUUCUUAUUUAUUAAUGGACUUCCUACAUAGCUCAUAUUGACGUUAGAUUUAAAUGAAAUUCCAGAAGGGUUUUCUAUAGGUAAGUCAUACACUGGAUUUCCAUAUUACCUACGAUUAUUGAAGUAUUUAUUUCUGUUUUUAGGACUUCAGAGCAAUUUUGCUGGUCAUUUAUUUUCUGUGUUUUUAUUUUGAAAUUGUUCUUUGAUGCAUUGUCCUAUUACAUUUUUAAGGUAUG
RNAcentral lists this long non-coding RNA (4484 nucleotides) under Homo sapiens (human). Its description in RNAcentral is "HSALNT0334788". The record is from RNAcentral. Lineage: Eukaryota; Metazoa; Chordata; Mammalia; Primates; Hominidae.